GAGGUCGCUGUGCGACUGAUACAGGAUAACCUAGAUGGGCCCUGGUGGCCCUUUGUUAUCCUAUUAUUUAUGUUAUGUUAUGUAAUGUUUACUGGAGCCGAAUCCCACGGUGCACGGAUCCGCCAAGGCUGUGAUAAACAAACCCCCGGCCAGCACAACGCUCACGUGUGCUUACUGCUUACUGCUUGUAGGGAAUCUCGAUCCAGAAGCUCACCAUCAUGAUUCGUCUAGGAGCACCUCGCAUGGACCCUGCUGAAGAGAAGAAACGAGCACAGGAGGAAGAGAGAAUGGCUCGGGUGGCAUUAUAUUCAAAUAUUGCGACUUUCCUCGCCACGGUGGGACUAAUUCGAGCAGCACCUUACAUUGCGGAGCACUUCUUUUGAAGAGGAUGGCUCGAUGGACAGUUUCCAAAGCACUGCAUACUUCAAGAUGCCGUGUGAUAAACAUAGUGGAAUAUUUCCCCUGUUCUCUAUCCUUUACUUAUAUGAUAUAAUAUAAAUUAAUGUUUUCAUGUAUAUGUAUGUUAUAUUAUGAAUUGAUGUUUUUCUGUAUAUAUUCAGUUUGAGUAAAAGAACAUUUGACUGAA
Molecule: long non-coding RNA, 586 nt
Organism: Portunus trituberculatus (swimming crab)
Lineage: Eukaryota; Metazoa; Arthropoda; Malacostraca; Decapoda; Portunidae
Exons: 2
Source: RefSeq, a predicted model, not a curated record